GACGAACGCUGGCGGCGUGCCUAAUACAUGCAAGUAGAACGCUGAAGAGAGGAGCUUGCUCUUCUUGGAUGAGUUGCGAACGGGUGAGUAACGCGUAGGUAACCUGCCUUGUAGCGGGGGAUAACUAUUGGAAACGAUAGCUAAUACCGCAUAACAAUAGGUGACACAUGUCAUUUAUUUGAAAGGGGCAAUUGCUCCACUACAAGAUGGACCUGCGUUGUAUUAGCUAGUAGGUGAGGUAACGGCUCACCUAGGCGACGAUACAUAGCCGACCUGAGAGGGUGAUCGGCCACACUGGGACUGAGACACGGCCCAGACUCCUACGGGAGGCAGCAGUAGGGAAUCUUCGGCAAUGGGGGCAACCCUGACCGAGCAACGCCGCGUGAGUGAAGAAGGUUUUCGGAUCGUAAAGCUCUGUUGUAAGUCAAGAACGAGUGUGAGAGUGGAAAGUUCACACUGUG
RNAcentral lists this ribosomal RNA (461 nucleotides) under Streptococcus vestibularis. RNAcentral describes it as "bacterial SSU rRNA". It matches the Rfam family "Bacterial small subunit ribosomal RNA", at positions 28 to 471 of the family's 1533-position model. Lineage: Bacteria; Bacillati; Bacillota; Bacilli; Lactobacillales; Streptococcaceae. The record is from RNAcentral.